Molecule: long non-coding RNA, 2410 nt
Organism: Esox lucius (northern pike)
Lineage: Eukaryota; Metazoa; Chordata; Actinopteri; Esociformes; Esocidae
Source: Ensembl
CUUACAUCUGCUGUGCGUAAUAAUGCUUCAUAGUGUUGCAGACAUUCUACUAGUCUCCAAGUAAUGACAACAAAGAAUGAAUAAUAACAAAAUAAUAUAUAUUUUCCCUUUUACAAAGCGUUUUCAAUUAUGCACAUAAAAUCCGAAGUAAAAAAAAAAGUUUACAAUUAAAUUAGUUAGAAAAUGACAGUCUGACAUUGACAAUGGACACAAAAGUAGCUUAUGUAAAUAAAGCUUGAAGGCAGUAGACAGAGAGCAAAAUUAAUCCACAUUUACAUUUCAGAUGGACUUAUUUCUUAACCUGCCGCUGAUCCCAUUUAAUGUUUAUAUAGCGUCUUGCCCCAACGGAGGAUAUUUCCUUUAAUUAUGUACAGAGUUGGGUGGGUUAUUUUUUUAAAUGUAAUCCGUAACAGUUACAAGUUACCUGUCCACAUUUGUAACCUGUAACAUAACUUUUUGUUUACUCAAACUCAGAAACGUAAUCUGAUGACUUUUAGUCAUUUAUUAUUAAGUACUGUUAGGUUUAUAUUCCUUGUCAGUGUAAGACCACAGUAUUGCACAGUAUGUUUUUUAAUUAUUUAAUAUUUAAUAGUGGAAUAAUAUCUUCCAAGGCAAUACAUAACCAGAGUUGGGGAGUAACGGAUUACAAGUAAUCCGUAACAUGUAACUGAUUACAGAAAAAUAAGUAACAGCAAUCUGUUACAUUACCAACUAAAAUAUUGUAAUCGGAUGAAAGAUACUUUUGAAAAACAUUAUGCUUACUUUUGGAUUACUUCAAUUGAAAAAGAUUAGUUGCGAGAAAUAAUUAUGACACAUUGCAUACUUGAUCUUGUUUUUAAAUGUUUUGAAUGAAAAUAACAAUUGUGCGACUCAGUUGCGUGUGAUCAUCGUGCAAGCGAAGGUGGGCGCGCUGAUUAUUGACCGAUGAAGCGCUAGUUUGAAUUUGGUUGGUAGGGUUGCUGGUAAAACAGAGUACAGUUUAUCUACGAUAAUAAUAUUUACGGUAUCUACUAUCAACGCAUUUUAGAAUGAUCAUAGGCGACACGUUUUUUUCAAGUUUCAAGGUUUAUUUGUCAAAUGCACGGAACAAUGCCAGGAAGAGUUGCACUGAACAACUCUGGAAUUGUUGUUCAGAAAAGAAGAUUAGGCAAAUAUUUGUUAUAUAGCUGUAACACUAUGCUGCCUUCGAGAUAAAACAUUAUAUGGAAUUUAUCAAGGAUAUUUGAGGAAAAAGGGUGUGUUGGGAAGCACUCUGCCAAAGGAUGAUUGCAUUUGAUGCAACUCAACUCCAUCCAUACAGGUAAGCCAUGUGAAUCUGCCUGUUUUGCAUCUCAGACAAUUGUGCUCAUUGAUUAGUAUUGGCUGCUGAUGACUUUGACUUUAGGCUAAGAGUGCAGGUGUAUAGGUGUAAUGCUUCUUAAAUGAGCUUGAAGGCAGUGGUGGUAGUAAGAAAUUAACCCGCAUUAAGAUUUCAGAUUAACUUAUUUCCUGACCUGCCACUGAUCCAAUUUAAAUUGUUAACAUGCUUCUUCUUCCAACUGAGGAUAUUGCCUGCAAUUUAUCUAUUGGCACAUGUACAAAGCCCUCUUGCAGAAACCACCCAAGGUUAAAAUCACAAAAUAUGGUACUUAUGGCUACUUGUGGUGUUUGCAGUGACAUUACAAUGUUUUUAGAAUUAGACAUCACAGAUUUGUGAUGAUAUGAGGACCGGUUUCAGAUAUUCCCUUUUGAUUUGUGAUGAUUUAGCCUAAAAGUGUGUUAUAAUGGUAAUUGUUUUCCUUUCUUCACUAUUAUUCUACCUUGUGGAAAAUAAUAGAAAUAAAGAAAUGCCAUUGAAUGGGUAGGUGUAUCCAAAAGUUUGACUGGUACUUUUUAAUUUCAAUAAAUUGGCAAAACAAUUCUAAAAACAUGUUUUUGAUUUGGGGUAUUUUUAGGUUCCUAAUAAUCAUGGCUGCUAUUACACCUUAAUAUAUAUACACAUAUGUACUUAUGACCCAAUGUCUCAAUACUAAGGUUAGCACCAUCUUCCAAAAGAAAUUGGAACAGAGUUGAUAAUAUUCCAAAGUCAGACCAAAACGUCUAAGGACCCAGGAGCCCAUUUUGUUCGGUUUUCCAAAGAUUGGGUCUUGACUACUGGAUUGCGGCAAUGGUGUGUUGCAGGACUGGAACAGAAAAAGACAUUCAGGGCAUUGGCGCUUUUGGGGCUCGGCGGAUGUACAAUUACAUUAGGGCACAGGUGUCAAACCGGUUCCACGGAGGGCCGAGUGUCUGCAGGUUUUUGCUCUCUCCUUGUACUUGAUUGGUUAAUUAGGUCACUGAUUGGUUAGUUUCUACCCUCACCUGGUUGUGUAGGUAUGAACUAGGAACCAAUUUAUAGGAAAAACCAAAAACCUGCAGACACUCGGCCCUC